AUGAACGCUGGCGGCGUGCCUCAUACAUGCAAGUCGCGCGAACAGACGAGGAGCUUGCUCCUCUGACGUUAGCGGCGGACGGGUGAGUAACACGUGGAUAACCUACCUAUAAGACUGGGAUAACUUCGGGAAACCGGAGCUAAUACCGGAUAAUAUAUUGAACCGCAUGGUUCAAUAGUGAAAGACGGUUUUGCUGUCACUUAUAGAUGGAUCCGCGCCGCAUUAGCUAGUUGGUAAGGUAACGGCUUACCAAGGCAACGAUGCGUAGCCGACCUGAGAGGGUGAUCGGCCACACUGGAACUGAGACACGGUCCAGACUCCUACGGGAGGCAGCAGUAGGGAAUCUUCCGCAAUGGGCGAAAGCCUGACGGAGCAACGCCGCGUGAGUGAUGAAGGUCUUCGGAUCGUAAAACUCUGUUAUUAGGGAAGAACAAAUGUGUAAGUAACUAUGCACGUCUUGACGGUACCUAAUCAGAAAGCCACGGCUAGCUACGUG
This 496-nucleotide ribosomal RNA is filed under the name uncultured bacterium. RNAcentral's name for it is "partial 16S ribosomal RNA". It matches the Rfam family "Bacterial small subunit ribosomal RNA", at positions 29 to 507 of the family's 1533-position model. The record is from RNAcentral.